CCUACGGGCGGCAGCAGUGGGGAAUAUUGGACAAUGGGGGGAACCCUGAUCCAGCCAUGCCGCGUGUGUGAAGAAGGCCCUCGGGUUGUAAAGCACUUUCAGUGAGGAAGAACGCCUGGUGGUUAAUACCCAUCAGGAAAGACAUCACUCACAGAAGAAGCACCGGCUAACUCCGUGCCAGCAGCCGCGGUAAUACGGAGGGUGCGAGCGUUAAUCGGAAUUACUGGGCGUAAAGCGCGCGUAGGUGGCUUGAUAAGCCGGUUGUGAAAGCCCCGGGCUCAACCUGGGAACGGCAUCCGGAACUGUCAAGCUAGAGUGCAGGAGAGGAAGGUAGAAUUCACGGUGUAGCGGUGAAAUGCGUAGAGAUCGGGAGGAAUACCAGUGGCGAAGGCGGCCUUCUGGACUGACACUGACACUGAGGUGCGAAAGCGUGGGUAGCAAACAGGAUUAGAUACCCUGGUAGUC
Molecule: ribosomal RNA, 465 nt
Filed under: Vreelandella stevensii
Lineage: Bacteria; Pseudomonadati; Pseudomonadota; Gammaproteobacteria; Oceanospirillales; Halomonadaceae
Description: partial 16S ribosomal RNA
Rfam family: Bacterial small subunit ribosomal RNA
Source: RNAcentral